RNAcentral lists this ribosomal RNA (253 nucleotides) under uncultured bacterium. Its description in RNAcentral is "partial 16S ribosomal RNA". It matches the Rfam family "Bacterial small subunit ribosomal RNA", at positions 524 to 776 of the family's 1533-position model. The record is from RNAcentral.
UACGGAGGGGGCUAGCGUUGUUCGGAAUUACUGGGCGUAAAGCGCACGUAGGCGGCUUUGUAAGUUAGAGGUGAAAGCCCAGGGCUCAACCCUGGAAUUGCCUUUAAGACUGCAUCGCUAGAAUUGUGGAGAGGUAAGUGGAAUUCCGAGUGUAGAGGUGAAAUUCGUAGAUAUUCGGAAGAACACCAGUGGCGAAGGCGACUUACUGGACACAUAUUGACGCUGAGGAGCGAAAGCGUGGGGAGCGAACAGG